GAUCCUGGCUCAGGAUGAACGCUAGCUACAGGCUUAANACAUGCAAGUCGAGGGCAGCAGGGAUUUAGCUUGCUAAAUUCGCUGGCGACCGGCGCACGGGUGCGUAACGCGUAUCCAACCUUCCCGUUACUCAGGGAUAGCCUUCCGAAAGGGAGAUUAAUACAAGAUGGUAUUCAAAUUCCGCAUGUUAUUUGAAUUAAAGAUUCAUCGGUAACGGAUGGGGAUGCGUGACAUUAGGUAGAUGGCGGGGUAACGGCCCACCAUGCCCACGAUGUCUAGGGGUUCUGAGAGGAAGGUCCCCCACACUGGAACUGAGACACGGUCCAGACUCCUACGGGAGGCAGCAGUGAGGAAUAUUGGUCAAUGGCCGGAAGGCUGAACCAGCCAAGUAGCGUGAAGGAUGAAGGUUCUAUGGAUUGUAAACUUCUUUUAUACGGGAAUAAAACCACCUACGUGUAGGUGCUUGUAUGUACCGUAUGAAUAAGCAUCGGCUAACUCCGUG
RNAcentral lists this ribosomal RNA (502 nucleotides) under uncultured bacterium. RNAcentral's name for it is "bacterial SSU rRNA". It matches the Rfam family "Bacterial small subunit ribosomal RNA", at positions 15 to 507 of the family's 1533-position model. The record is from RNAcentral.